This 122-nucleotide ribosomal RNA is filed under the name Brevibacterium casei CIP 102111. RNAcentral describes it as "partial 16S rRNA. Bacterial SSU". It matches the Rfam family "Bacterial small subunit ribosomal RNA", at positions 1 to 115 of the family's 1533-position model. The record is from RNAcentral. Lineage: Bacteria; Bacillati; Actinomycetota; Actinomycetes; Micrococcales; Brevibacteriaceae.
UUUUUAUGGAGAGUUUGAUCCUGGCUCAGGACGAACGCUGGCUGCGUGCUUAACACAUGCAAGUCGAACGCUGAAGCCUGGUGCUUGCACCGGGUGGAUGAGUGGCGAACGGGUGAGUAACA